AUAUCAAUAAGCGGAGGAAAAGAAACUAACAAGGAUUCCCCUAGUAACUGCGAGUGAAGCGGGAAAAGCUCAAAUUUAAAAUCUGUCAGUCUUUGGCUGUCCGAGUUGUAAUCUAGAGAAGCGUUAUCCGCGCUGGACCGUGUACAAGUCUCCUGGAAUGGAGCGUCAUAGAGGGUGAGAAUCCCGUCUUUGACACGGACUGCCAGGGCUUUGUGAUGCGCUCUCAAAGAGUCGAGUUGUUUGGGAAUGCAGCUCAAAAUGGGUGGUAAAUUCCAUCUAAAGCUAAAUAUUGGCGAGAGACCGAUAGCGAACAAGUACCGUGAGGGAAAGAUGAAAAGAACUUUGGAAAGAGAGUUAAACAGUACGUGAAAUUGCUGAAAGGGAAACGCUUGAAGUCAGUCGUCGCGUUGUCCAGGGAUCAACCUUGCUUUUGCUUGGUGUACUUUCUGGUCGACGGGUCAGCAUCAAUUUUGACUAUUGGAAAAAGAUCAGGGGAAUGUGGCAUCCUUUGGAUGUGUUAUAGCCUUUGGUUGCAUACAAUGGUUGGGAUUGAGGAACUCAGCACGCCGCAAGGCCGGGUUUUAACCACGUACGUGCUUAGGAUGCUGGCAUAAUGGCUUUAAUCGACCCGUCUUGAAACACGGACCAAGGAGUCUAACAUGCCUGCGAGUGUUUGGGUGGAAAACCCGAGCGCGUAAUGAAAGUGAAAGUUGAGAUCCCUGUCGUGGGGAGCAUCGACGCCCGGACCAGACCUUUUGUGACGGCUCCGCGGUAGAGCAUGUAUGUUGGGACCCGAAAGAUGGUGAACUAUGCCUGAAUAGGGUGAAGCCAGAGGAAACUCUGGUGGAGGCUCGUAGCGAUUCUGACGUGCAAAUCGAUCGUCAAAUUUGGGUAUAGGGGCGAAAGACUAAUCGAACCAUCUAGUAGCUGGUUCCUG
This 937-nucleotide ribosomal RNA is filed under the name Cortinarius cycneus. RNAcentral's name for it is "partial large subunit ribosomal RNA". It matches the Rfam family "Eukaryotic large subunit ribosomal RNA", at positions 40 to 960 of the family's 3401-position model. Lineage: Eukaryota; Fungi; Basidiomycota; Agaricomycetes; Agaricales; Cortinariaceae. The record is from RNAcentral.